RNAcentral lists this ribosomal RNA (253 nucleotides) under uncultured bacterium. RNAcentral describes it as "partial 16S ribosomal RNA". It matches the Rfam family "Bacterial small subunit ribosomal RNA", at positions 524 to 776 of the family's 1533-position model. The record is from RNAcentral.
UACGAAGGGGGCUAGCGUUGCUCGGAAUCACUGGGCGUAAAGGGUGCGUAGGCGGGUCUUUAAGUCAGGGGUGAAAUCCUGGAGCUCAACUCCAGAACUGCCUUUGAUACUGAGGAUCUUGAGUUCGGGAGAGGUGAGUGGAACUGCGAGUGUAGAGGUGAAAUUCGUAGAUAUUCGCAAGAACACCAGUGGCGAAGGCGGCUCACUAGCCCGAUACUGACGCUGAGGCGCGAAAGCGUGGGGAGCAAACAGG